Molecule: ribosomal RNA, 465 nt
Filed under: uncultured bacterium
Lineage: Bacteria
Description: partial 16S ribosomal RNA
Rfam family: Bacterial small subunit ribosomal RNA
Source: RNAcentral
CCUACGGGGGGCAGCAGUGGGGAAUAUUGCGCAAUGGGCGAAAGCCUGACGCAGCGACGCCGCGUGAGGGAUGAAGGUCUUCGGAUCGUAAACCUCUGUCAGCAGGGAAGAACGGUCACUGUGCUAAUCAGCAGUGAAUUGACGGUACCUGCAAAGGAAGCACCGGCUAACUCCGUGCCAGCAGCCGCGGUAAUACGGAGGGUGCGAGCGUUAAUCGGAAUUACUGGGCGUAAAGCGAUCGUAGGCGGUAUGUCAAGUCAAGGGUGAAAUCCCCGCGCUAAACGUGGGAACUGCCUUUGAAACUGGCAAACUGGAGUGUGUGAGAGGAUAGUGGAAGUCCAGGUGUAGGAGUGAAAGCCGUAGAUAGCUGUAGGAACAUCAGUGGCGAAGGCGACUAUCUGGCACAUAACUGACGCUGAGGAGCGAAAGCGUGGGUAGCAAACAGGAUUAGAUACCCUUGUAGUC